UCACGUAGGGGGCAAGCGUUGUCCGGAUUUAUUGGGCGUAAAGAGCGUGUAGGCGGCUUGGCAAGUCCGCUGUGAAAACUCGAGGCUUAACCUCGAGACGUCGGUGGAAACUGCUUGGCUAGAGUCCGGAAGAGGAGAGUGGAAUUCCUGGUGUAGCGGUGAAAUGCGCAGAUAUCAGGAAGAACACCCGUGGCUAAGGCGGCUCUCUAGUACGGUACUGACGCUGAGACGCGAAAGCGUGGGGAGCGAACAGG
RNAcentral lists this ribosomal RNA (254 nucleotides) under uncultured bacterium. RNAcentral describes it as "partial 16S ribosomal RNA". It matches the Rfam family "Bacterial small subunit ribosomal RNA", at positions 523 to 776 of the family's 1533-position model. The record is from RNAcentral.